RNAcentral lists this non-coding RNA (50 nucleotides) under Knoellia flava. RNAcentral describes it as "Guanidine-II sequence". It matches the Rfam family "Guanidine-II riboswitch aptamer (mini-ykkC)". From Rfam's summary of the family: Simpler in structure and has fewer highly conserved nucleotide positions than the ykkC-yxkD leader. Despite this each of its two stem-loop structures directly bind free guanidine. Therefore, mini-ykkC RNA motif represents a distinct class of guanidine-sensing RNAs. Lineage: Bacteria; Bacillati; Actinomycetota; Actinomycetes; Micrococcales; Intrasporangiaceae. The record is from RNAcentral.
CCCCGAGGACGACCUCGUCGUCGCGGCCAUCCCCUCGCGGGAGGACCCGC